This 302-nucleotide long non-coding RNA is filed under the name Homo sapiens (human). Its description in RNAcentral is "HSALNT0357672". Lineage: Eukaryota; Metazoa; Chordata; Mammalia; Primates; Hominidae. The record is from RNAcentral.
UUUUUUUUGAGACUGAGUCUCGCUCUCUCGCCAAGCUGGAGUGCAGUGGCAGAUGUCAGCUCACUGCAGCCUCUGCCUCCCAGCCCCUCCAGGGCUUGCAGGACCUGGCGGGCCACACUCUUGGAGCCUUAGCUGAAGUGGCUGGGCAUGACGCUGUUUCUCUGACGGCCCUUGUAGAUCUUGGUCAUAGAGCCAACCCCAGCACCACCCAAGAGGAAUUUAUUUUCUGCACCAUACUUCUCUCCUUCUGGCCAGAAGCAAUUUGUAAUCCUGGUUCUCUGACUUGACCCUGGGCAGCCUUC